Molecule: ribosomal RNA, 253 nt
Filed under: uncultured bacterium
Lineage: Bacteria
Description: partial 16S ribosomal RNA
Rfam family: Bacterial small subunit ribosomal RNA
Source: RNAcentral
UACGUAGGGGGCAAGCGUUAUCCGGAUUUACUGGGUGUAAAGGGAGCGCAGACGGCAGUGCAAGUCUGGAGUGAAAGCCCGGGGCCCAACCCCGGAACUGCUCUGGAAACUGUGCGGCUAGAGUACUGGAGGGGCAGGCGGAAUUCCUAGUGUAGCGGUGAAAUGCGUAGAUAUUAGGAGGAACACCAGUGGCGAAGGCGGCCUGCUGGACAGUAACUGACGUUGAGGCCCGAAAGCGUGGGGAGCAAACAGG